AAUUAGAAGCCCUCUACGUUGCUGAGUCACUUCAGGGAAGAGGGCUGCCCUGAGGAGUCACUCAACUUCCUCUGGACUCUGCAUGAACCAGAAAUAGGGUACCUGAUUUCAAGAUUCAAGGCCACCAUUUAGGCUUAGAUUUCACCUCUUGCCCCAAGAAUGUAGACCAUCUGAGAUCUAAAGGUGAAUGGCGAAAUAAACUGGCACAGUCAUACCAUGGAAUGCAGCAAUAAAAAUGAGUAAGCUAUUGAUACACACAAGAACUUGGAUGGCUCUUUCAAGGACAUUAUGUGGAGUGUGAAAAGGAGUGCUUCUCCACACGAUUGACAUCAGAAUUACCAUGGGAGAUGUUAAAAGGUACAGAUGCUCAGGUGCCCAGAUGUGGUUUGAGUUGAUCAGGAUUCAAGCCUGGGCAAUGGAAUUAAUUUAGCAAUGACAAAUAACAACUGUAACAACAGCAAAU
This 463-nucleotide long non-coding RNA is filed under the name Equus caballus (horse). RNAcentral describes it as "lncRNA (ENSECAG00000044439.1)". Lineage: Eukaryota; Metazoa; Chordata; Mammalia; Perissodactyla; Equidae. The record is from RNAcentral.